AAGGUUUCCGUAGGUGAACCUGCGGAAGGAUCAUUGUCGAUGCCUUACAUGCAGUCCAACACGUGAAUCAGUUUGAACACAUACGGUGGGCUAGAGGCGUUCCACGCCUCGGCUUACCUCUGGUUCGGAGGCGGACAACRUWGUGCGUUCUCCUCCGUGCCAAAACUCGAACCCCGGCGCUGAAUGCGUCAAGGAAUUUAAACUUUGCUCCGAGCRCACCCCGCUUGGCACCGGAGACGGUUUUCGUGCGGGUUGUGCUUUGACACAUUAUAUAGAAUGACUCUCGGCAACGGAUAUCUAGGCUCUUGCAUCGAUGAAGAACGUAGCGAAAUGCGAUACUUGGUGUGAAUUGCAGAAUCCCGUGAACCAUCGAGUUUUUGAACGCAAGUUGCGCCCGAUGCCAUUAGGUUGAGGGCACGUCUGCCUGGGUGUCACAUACCGAAGCCUCCUGCCAAUUACCUUUUGACRGGUACUGUGCAGGGUGGAUGUUGGCCUCCCGUGAGCUCUUUCGYCUCAUGGUUGGUUGAAAAUUGAGACCUUGGUAGGGUGUGCCAUGAUAGAUGGUGGUUGUGCGACUCACGAGACCAAUCAUGCGCUGCUCUAUUGAAUUYGGCCUCUUUUACCCAUAUGCGUUUCAAAACGCUCGUGAUGAGACCUCAGGUCAGGCGGGGCUACCCGCUGAAUUUAAGCAUAUCAAUAAGCGGAGGAAAAGAAACUAACAAGGAUUCC
This 729-nucleotide ribosomal RNA is filed under the name Vicia iranica. RNAcentral describes it as "eukaryotic LSU rRNA". The stretch from base 279 to 434 matches the Rfam family "5.8S ribosomal RNA". Lineage: Eukaryota; Viridiplantae; Streptophyta; Magnoliopsida; Fabales; Fabaceae. The record is from RNAcentral.